CUCAUUUCUAUUACAGGCAUCAAAGUGAUAUGUAAUUAUACAAGAACUGAAGCAUUGAUGUAUAUGAUCUUAACAUUGAUGUAUAUGAUCUUAUUUGGGUGUAACAAUGUGUAGUAAUACAGUAUCUGUAGUAGUAAUCUGUUAUCGCUACCAAAAGAAAAUUGAAAAGAGAUAAACAUGCCAAACAGCCAAAGUGAUGUCACAGCUCAUGGGACUACAAAGUGAUAAUUAUACUAGAAUAACUUGAUUAUACAGUUAGUUCAAACUGAUUGGGUCAUUCAAAAAAAUAUCCACACCCCUAAUGGAAGAGAUGGGAGGUUCAGCUUUCUCCCACUUUUGGACACCCUUAGCUAAUACUUUUACUAUUAUCAGCAGUUGAGUUCGGCCCACUUCAGACAGCACUUCAGACAGCACUUCAGACAUCUGUGGAGUUAGUGUUUAUCUUUUCUGGAAUGACUCAUUGGUGAUUGGUAGUUAAUAAUUAUUCAUUGAAGAAUUUAAAUUAAAAUAAUACAAUUUCAACUGCAUCAUUGUGGUGGUAAAUAAUUCUGCAAUAAACAAGAAUAGGUUCUUUGAAUGUUUGCAUGGCGAUAAAAUAUAAUUGUUUUUGUUUGUGGGAACACCACGUAAAUUUAUUACUGCAAAGCUUUCGAUCCGUAAGCCCGGAUCUUCAUCAG
Molecule: non-coding RNA, 677 nt
Organism: Paramuricea clavata
Lineage: Eukaryota; Metazoa; Cnidaria; Anthozoa; Malacalcyonacea; Plexauridae
Source: the annotation of a GenBank genome assembly